AGAGUUUGAUCCUGGCUCAGGAUGAACGCUGGCGGUAUGCUUAAUACAUGCAAGUCGUACGAAGGCUCUUAGCCUUAGUGGCGGACGGGUGAGUAACACGUGAGAAUCUGCCCUUAGGAGGAGGAUAACAGCUGGAAACGGUUGCUAAUACUCCAUAUGCCGAGAGGUGAAAGGAUUUAUCUACCUAAGGAGGAGCUCGCGUCUGAUUAGCUAGUUGGUAGGGUAAUGGCCUGCCAAGGCGACGAUCAGUAGCUGGUUUGAGAGGAUGAUCAGCCACACUGGGACUGAGACACGGCCCAGACUCCUACGGGAGGCAGCAGUAGGGAAUUUUCCGCAAUGGGCGAAAGCCUGACGGAGCAAUACCGCGUGAGGGAUGACGGCCUGUGGGUUGUAAACCUCUUUUCUCAAGGAAGAAGUUCUGACGGUACUUGAGGAAUAAGCAUCGGCUAACUCUGUGCCAGCAGCCGCGGUAAUACAGAGGAUGCAAGCGUUAUCCGGAA
This 500-nucleotide ribosomal RNA is filed under the name uncultured bacterium. RNAcentral's name for it is "bacterial SSU rRNA". It matches the Rfam family "Bacterial small subunit ribosomal RNA", at positions 8 to 550 of the family's 1533-position model. The record is from RNAcentral.